RNAcentral lists this ribosomal RNA (414 nucleotides) under uncultured bacterium. RNAcentral describes it as "bacterial SSU rRNA". It matches the Rfam family "Bacterial small subunit ribosomal RNA", at positions 11 to 429 of the family's 1533-position model. The record is from RNAcentral.
GUUUGAUCCUGGCUCAGAUUAAACGCUGGCGGCAUGCCUUACACAUGCAAGUCGAACGGCAGCACGGGGGCAACCCUGGUGGCGAGUGGCGGACGGGUGAGUAAAGCAUCGGAACGUAUCCUGGAGUGGGGGAUAACGUAGCGAAAGUUACGCUAAUACCGCAUAUUCUGUGAGCAGGAAAGCAGGGGAUCGCAAGACCUUGCGCUCUGGGGAGCGGCCGAUGUCGGAUUAGCUAGUUGGUGGGGUAAAGGCCUACCAAGGCGACGAUCCGUAGCGGGUCUGAGAGGAUGAUCCGCCACACUGGGACUGAGACACGGCCCAGACUCCUACGGGAGGCAGCAGUGGGGAAUUUUGGACAAUGGGCGGAAGCCUGAUCCAGCCAUGCCGCGUGAGUGAAGAAGGCCUCGGUGUAAG